This 67-nucleotide transfer RNA is filed under the name Marmota monax (woodchuck). Its description in RNAcentral is "tRNA.Asp". Lineage: Eukaryota; Metazoa; Chordata; Mammalia; Rodentia; Sciuridae. The record is from RNAcentral.
GGAUUGUGGCUCAAUGGUAGAGCGCUCGCCUAUCGUGGGCGGGACCUGGGUUCCAUCCUCAGCACCA